UAUCUCUGUAGAGUCUGCAUAUCAAUAAGCGGAGGAAAAGAAACUAACUAGGAUUCCCUCAGUAACGGCGAGUGAAGCGGGAAGAGCUCAAAUUUGAAAUCUUCAAGGUUCUACCUUGACGAAUUGUAGUUUAAAGAAGUGUUUUCUGUUGGAGUUUUGGUAAAAGUUCUUUGGAAUAGGACAUCAUAGAGGGUGAGAAUCCCGUAUUUGACCAUUAUUUCCAGCUUUGUGAUACACUUUCAAAGAGUCGGAUUGUUUGGGAAUGCAGUCCAAAAUGGGUGGUAAAUUUCAUCUAAAGCUAAAUACUGGCGAGAGACCGAUAGCGAACAAGUACCGUGAGGGAAAGAUGAAAAGAACUUUGAAAAGAGAGUUAAACAGUACGUGAAAUUGUCAAAAGGGAAGCGUUUGACACCAGUGUUGUUUUCUCGAAAAUCAAUUAAAAAUGGCAUGAUUUUGUGUUGUAUUGACCUUUAUCAAGCUUUCUUCACUCUUUUCUUGUCUUUUUUAAUGCACUUUUCGUUUAACAAGUCAACAUCAAUUUCUUUUGUUGUAAAAGGGUCAUUGGAAGGUGGCUUUCCUUUCGGAGAAAGUGUUUAUAGCCUUUGGCCUCUGCAAUCGGAGAGAUUGAGGUCUGCAGCGUAGAUCCUUCGGGGUUAGAUACAUUUGUGCUAAGUUAUAGCCUUUCAUAGACAACUUGUUGACUAUGAUCAGUCAUGUAGCUUACUCGCUUAUGCUAUUUUACCUACGCUUAGGAUGUUGACGAUCAGCUGAGCGCG
Molecule: ribosomal RNA, 776 nt
Filed under: uncultured Neocallimastigales
Lineage: Eukaryota; Fungi; Neocallimastigomycota; Neocallimastigomycetes; Neocallimastigales
Description: partial large subunit ribosomal RNA
Rfam family: Eukaryotic large subunit ribosomal RNA
Source: RNAcentral